AUACGUAGGUGGCGAGCGUUGUCCGGAAUUAUUGGGCGUAAAGAGCAUGUAGGCGGCUUAAUAAGUCGAGCGUGAAAAUGCGGGGCUCAACCCCGUAUGGUGCUGGAAACUGUUAGGCUUGAGUGCAGGAGAGGCAAGGGGAAUUCCCAGUGUAGCAGUGAAAUGCGUAGAUAUUGGGAGGAACACCAGUGGCGAAGGCGCUUUUCUGGACUGGGUCUAAAGCUGAGAGGCGAAAGCCAGUGUAGCGAACGGGAUUAGAUACCCCUGUAGUCCUGGCCGUAAACGAGGGGUACUAGGUGUAGGAGGGAUCGACCCCGUCUGUGCCGGAGUUAACGCAUUAAGUACCCCGCCUGGGGAGUACGGCCGCAAGGUUGAAACUCAAAUGAAUUGACGGGG
Molecule: ribosomal RNA, 396 nt
Filed under: uncultured bacterium
Lineage: Bacteria
Description: partial 16S ribosomal RNA
Rfam family: Bacterial small subunit ribosomal RNA
Source: RNAcentral